UACGUAGGGUGCGAGCGUUGUCCGGAUUUAUUGGGCGUAAAGAGCUUGUAGGCGGCUCGUCACGUCGGGUGUGAAAACUCGCGGCUCAACCGCGAGCCUGCACCCGAUACGGGCGGGCUAGAGUUCGGCAGGGGAGACUGGAAUUCCUGGUGUAGCGGUGGAAUGCGCAGAUAUCGGGAGGAACACCAGUGGCGAAGGCGGCUUCCUGGACCUGAUCUGACGCUGAGGAGCGAAAGCGUGGGGAGCGAUCCGG
Molecule: ribosomal RNA, 253 nt
Filed under: uncultured bacterium
Lineage: Bacteria
Description: partial 16S ribosomal RNA
Rfam family: Bacterial small subunit ribosomal RNA
Source: RNAcentral